This 193-nucleotide non-coding RNA is filed under the name Caenorhabditis japonica. RNAcentral describes it as "Eukaryotic small subunit ribosomal RNA". It matches the Rfam family "Eukaryotic small subunit ribosomal RNA", at positions 1641 to 1831 of the family's 1831-position model. The record is from Rfam by way of RNAcentral. Lineage: Eukaryota; Metazoa; Nematoda; Chromadorea; Rhabditida; Rhabditidae.
UUGAUUACGUCCCUGCCCUUUGUACACACCGCCCGUCGCUAUCCGGGAACUGAACUGAUUCGAGAAGAGUGGGGACUGUGGCUGCGAGGUUUUACCACUUCGCAGUUGCGGAAAACCAUUUUUAUCGCAUUGGUUUGAACCGGGUAAAAGUCGUAACAAGGUAGCUGUAGAUGAACCUGCAGCUGGAUCAUCG